UGCACCAGUGAUCAUGACUGGUGACAUAGGAGUGACAUGCAGUGAAUACUAAAUGUCUGUAACUCUCGGGUCCAC
Molecule: small nucleolar RNA, 75 nt
Organism: Pteropus vampyrus (large flying fox)
Lineage: Eukaryota; Metazoa; Chordata; Mammalia; Chiroptera; Pteropodidae
Source: Ensembl